UGUGAGGGCAAUCUGGCUGUGAUAUCUGGCACUCCAUUGAUCGCCAGGGUUGAUUCGACUGAUCUGGCUGGCUAGGUAGGUGUCCCCUUCCUCAUCAU
RNAcentral lists this small nuclear RNA (98 nucleotides) under Dipodomys ordii (Ord's kangaroo rat). Its description in RNAcentral is "7SK RNA". It matches the Rfam family "7SK RNA", at positions 4 to 105 of the family's 331-position model. Rfam says of the family: 7SK was discovered as an abundant small nuclear RNA in the mid-70s but a possible function has only recently been suggested. Two independent studies have found that 7SK RNA binds the CDK9/cyclin T complex (known as elongation factor P-TEFb). P-TEFb activates transcription by phosphorylating the C-terminal domain of RNA polymerase II. The record is from Rfam by way of RNAcentral. Lineage: Eukaryota; Metazoa; Chordata; Mammalia; Rodentia; Heteromyidae.